Molecule: ribosomal RNA, 427 nt
Filed under: uncultured bacterium
Lineage: Bacteria
Description: bacterial SSU rRNA
Rfam family: Bacterial small subunit ribosomal RNA
Source: RNAcentral
UGAGGAAUAUUGGACAAUGGGCGCAAGCCUGAUCCAGCCAUGCCGCGCGCAGUAUGAAGGCCUUCGGGUUGUAAACUGCUUUUGUACGGAACGAAAAGACUCCUUCUAAUAAAGGGGGUCCAUGACGUUACCGUAAGAAUAAGCACCGGCUAACUACGUGCCAGCAGCCGCGGUCAUACGUAGGGUGCGAGCGUUAAUCGGAAUUACUGGGCGUAAAGCGUGCGCAGGCGGUUAUAUAAGACAGAUGUGAAAUCCCCGGGCUCAACCUGGGACCUGCAUUUGUGACUGUAUAGCUAGAGUACGGUAGAGGGGGAUGGAAUUCCGCGUGUAGCAGUGAAAUGCGUAGAUAUGCGGAGGAACACCGAUGGCGAAGGCAAUCCCCUGGACCUGUACUGACGCUCAUGCACGAAAGCGUGGGGAGCAAACA